CCUACGGGUGGCAGCAGUAGGGAAUCUUCCACAAUGGGCGAAAGCCUGAUGGAGCAACGCCGCGUGGGUGAAGAAGUAUUUCGGUAUGUAAAGCUCUAUCAGCAGGGAAGAAAAUGACGGUACCUGACUAAGAAGCCCCGGCUAACGACGUGCCAGCAGCCGCGGUAAUACGUAGGGGGCAAGCGUUAUGCGGAUUUACGGGGUGUAAAGGGAGCGUAGACGGUGCAGCAAGUCUGAUGUGAAAGGUCGGGGCCCAACCCCGGGACUGCAUUGGAAACUGUUGAACUGGAGUACAGGAGAGGUAAGCGGAAUUCCUGGUGUAGCGGUGAAAUGCGUAGAUAUUAGGAGGAACACCAGUGGCGAAGGCGACUUACUGGACUGUAACUGACGUUGAGGCUCGAAAGCGUGGGGAGCAAACAGGAUUAGAUACCCCUGUAGUC
Molecule: ribosomal RNA, 440 nt
Filed under: uncultured bacterium
Lineage: Bacteria
Description: partial 16S ribosomal RNA
Rfam family: Bacterial small subunit ribosomal RNA
Source: RNAcentral